CAGUUGGAAACGACUGCUAAUACCGCAUAAUAUCUACGGAUCAAAGAUUUAUCGCCCAAGGAUCAGCCCGCGUUGGAUUAGCUUGUUGGUGGGGUAAUGGCCUACCAAGGCAACGAUCCAUAGCCGGUCUGAGAGGAUGACCGGCCACACUGGGACUGAGACACGGCCCAGACUCCUACGGGAGGCAGCAGUAGGGAAUAUUGGGCAAUGGGCGAAAGCCUGACCCAGCCAUGCCGCGUGUGUGAUGAAGGCCCUAGGGUUGUAAAGCACUUUUAGAUGUGACGAUUAUGACGGUAGCAUCAGAAAAAG
Molecule: ribosomal RNA, 309 nt
Filed under: uncultured Micavibrio sp.
Lineage: Bacteria; Pseudomonadati; Bdellovibrionota; Bdellovibrionia; Bdellovibrionales; Pseudobdellovibrionaceae
Description: bacterial SSU rRNA
Rfam family: Bacterial small subunit ribosomal RNA
Source: RNAcentral